Molecule: RNA transcript, 3639 nt
Organism: Xenopus laevis (African clawed frog)
Lineage: Eukaryota; Metazoa; Chordata; Amphibia; Anura; Pipidae
Gene name: reduced folate transporter
Exons: 7
Source: RefSeq, a predicted model, not a curated record
UUGGCAAAAUAUCGAAUGGGACGGGAGAUUCAUGUAAAUUGUAACUUAUCCAUAAAGUUGUAUUUGAAGGGCAAAUGCACACUGGGAAAUGUAGUUCUGGGGGACAAUGUGUUGGUACGGUCUGUGGUCAGUGCUGAAGUGAAACAGAACAACGUGUUUAUCAGCUGGAGAGUUGCUGCCGAGAUGACACAGAAUAAGAGCGACGGGCAAGCUUCAGAGGAGAGCUUUACUAUGCAUGGUAUUCAGAUGGCUUCAGAGAAUGGGGAAAUGAAGGAGCAGCAAACUCCUAGUAAGGAACAGCACUCCCCCAAUGAGGAACAACAGUUUAUACCCGUGGAGCUUCAAUCACCAGUCGAACUGCCUUCUCCUAUAGAGGGAAAGGAGAGUCCACCUGAGGAGUACAAACAAUGGAAAUUUCUGCUCUUCUACCUGUGUGUGUAUGGUUUCAUGACUCAGCUGCGUCCUGGAGAAAGCUUCAUAACCCCAUACUUACUGAGCCAGGAGAGGAAUUUCACAAAAGAGCAGGUUACCAAUGAGAUCACGCCGGUGCUGAGUUACUCAUACAUGGCUGUCCUUGUGCCAGUCUUUCUUCUCACUGACUAUUUGCGUUACAAGCCUGUGCUGAUCCUGCAGAGUUUAAGUCACAUCUCCGUGUGGUUGCUGCUCAUCUUUGGCACUGAUGUAAUUGCCAUGCAAUUUAUGGAGUUCUUCUAUGGUAUCACCAUGGCAGCUCGGGUCGCUUAUUCUUCUUACAUAUUCUCCCUGGUGUCGCCAACGAAUUAUCAGCGGGCAGCAGGGUACUCACGUUCCUCAGUACUUAUGGGUGUUUUUGUAAGUGCUGUACUUGGGCAGCUGUGCAUCAGCUUGGCUGGUGUACCAUUCAGAACCCUAAAUUACAUAUCUUUGGGCUUUAUGAUACUUGGGCUUUUCCUUACCUUAUUUCUACAAAGGCCGAAAAGAAGUCUUUUCUUUAAUAAAAGUACUUCUAAGCAGCAGAAUGGCAUUCACCUUUUUGAGGAGCAAAAAGCAAAUACUGGAGCUAAAGCUGGGGGUCUCUGCUCUGGAUGGAGAGAUUUUGUGAUUAUACGUAUGCUCAUGGAACUUAAAGGAGCUGUACGUCACCCCCGACUUCGACUGUGGUCACUGUGGUGGAUAUUUAACUCUGCUGGCUAUUACCUAAUGCUAUAUUAUGUGCAGAUUUUAUGGAACACAAUCUACCCUGCCACUGAUAAUAAAAAAGUGUACAAUGGUGGUGUUGAUGCAGCGUCCACACUCCUUGGAGCCAUCACAUCUUUUGCUGCGGGACAUAUAAAGAUUCGAUGGAAUCUGUGGUCAGAAUUGGUCAUUGGGCUGGUGACUGCUUUUCAGGCAGGGCUUCUUUUUCUUAUGAACACAACAGAUAAUAUUUGGGUGUGCUACGUAGCCUACAUACUUUUUAGAAGUUCAUACCAGUUCCUGGUUCCCAUAGCCAUCUUCCAGAUUGCUAGUAAUUUAUCCAAAGAGCUUUGUGCUUUAGUAUUUGGAGUAAACACAUUCUUUGCCACCAUCCUGAAAACCAUAAUUACUAUCAUCAUCGCUGACAAAAGAGGUCUGGCUCUCUCGGUACACCCACAGUUUUAUGUCUACUUUGCAUACUUUACCGUGUUGGCUGUGCUGUUCCUGGGGGCCGCUGCUUUGGUCAUUAUCCGGCAUUAUCAUGCAGAAAGGCUGAAAGACAAACCUCAAAUCCCUCCAAAAGCUGAAACUGAGCAGAAAACUACAUCCAGCAGUGCAGCCAUAUGUGAAUCCAAUGCAUAACUCCUGGCAUAGACCCACAAUAGGAAGCCAAGGAGUCCCAUUCUCUGCACAAGAAUUGUAUGUUCUUCAAGCUUUGGGAGAACAAUUUUAGGAUUAGUGAGACUGGGUUGCACUAAGUUACUGAACCACACAGCACCGGGCCUUUAAUUUGUUCAUGGAGAAGGGGAUCUAUUCCACACAAAUUUACUAAAACUGUGCAUUAUACAAGACUAUCACUUUCAGUUGCUCAAGUGCCUUAGGCUGCUUUAGGAUUCUGCAAGCUGUAGUUUACCAGCAUCUGGAGGGCCUACAGACUUCCAAGGAAGUUCCCCUGUUACACAUGGAGUAUUCAGUAUAGGUGUGUGUGGUUCCCCUUCACCGAAUGCCUUGAUUGCUAAUGAUCAAUGGUCAGAAGUUGCUAGAUGGAGGUUUAAGGAAAACUGCAUAACGGACUUGUUUAUUGAAAGCUUGCAACAUAUUUUCUUUGGUCAGCUAUUAAACCCAUAACCUCCUGGUCCUUUAGCAAUUCUGUUAAUUGCAACAGUUACAUGUUCACUGAUCUACAGAAAUGGCAGAGGCAAUAUUUAUAGUGCUGAAGGGAGCUUCUCUUUUCAUAUGAACAUAUCGCAAACAGUUUUGUGCCUUAAAAUCAUCUGUGGUAAAAGAAUCAGCAAGGGAUUUAAAUUUACACACAGUAGAAUGCUGCUGUAUUUUAGCAAAAAGUGUAUUCCCUACUACACCAUAUGUCUCCCUUUAAUGUAAAAUGUAUAGUAUCUUCUAUUAAUGUAGGAAUCUAAAGAAAGGUAACUUGCCAAUACAGCAUUUUUAGCUGUCCAUUUCAAUGGGAGCUUAUUUGGAAGCCUUGCAAGAACUCUAUGAAACAGUAUCCUUAAUCACAGUGGCCAAAUGAUAAAAGCUGGUAGGAUAAUAUUAUGUCACUAGACAUUAAGCCCGUUAAAUUAACGGGUGCUAGAACAUAUGUAGUCAAACAUUUAUAAAACCCCAUUUUAGAGUUUAAAUUCGCCAGAGACGGUCCGUGGGGCACAUGCGCAGUAGCGCAAUCCCACGGACACAGGGACUGGACGCAGAGACACUUCAACUUUAUUAAAUAGGAAUAUACAGGAUAGGAUAUUAUAUAGGAUAUAUAUAUAUAAAUAGUAUAGGUGCGACACACACGCACUGCUUCCCUAUCAUCUGUCCCAGGGAGCGUCGGAAUUACAACUCUCACAGUACAGCACUAAGUUGAGAUAGAAAACAUGAGCACGCCCUGCCUCAGAACACAGUAACGUGCCGCCUGUGCCCCUUCAGCCUGUGGCAGAGACUAUUUGCCGCACAGUUUGAUGCACUGCAUGACGGUGCCAGGGCCCAAUCCCCACCCGCUUCACUAAUCGCCCCACCUACCUUACAGAGCCGAAGGCACCGGAACCGACGGGGGUGAGACGCUGGUACCGCUCCGGCACUUCCCACACCGUCUUGUUCAGCUCUUGCUUGUAGAGUCCAACGCGCCCGCUCAUCUUGUCCGGAAGGGAGGAGUUGGGAAAGGAGGGAGGAGCCAGGGGCGGAGGAACGGCAGGUGGAUGGAUAGCGCGUUACCAGUGCCUAAUACCAUAUUACGGUUUGACUGAAGUUCUCAGCGCCGCCUCCCCGCACUGCCUGUCUUAAUUACAGCACAAACCAACUCCUGUGGGGUUGCAGGUCACAGCUCAGGCCAUUUUUGUGUGCGGUCCGUGGGGCACAUGCGCCGUAGCGCAAUCCCACGGACACAGGGACUGGACGCAGAGACACUUCAACUUUAUUAUAUAGGAUAGUUCAAUGGUACUGCCGGCAAAACACUUCUUUAUACUGUAUAUAAUAUGAAAUAAU